Molecule: unclassified non-coding RNA, 872 nt
Filed under: Hevea brasiliensis (rubber tree)
Lineage: Eukaryota; Viridiplantae; Streptophyta; Magnoliopsida; Malpighiales; Euphorbiaceae
Source: RNAcentral
CCAUCAGUCGUGGUUAUGCGGGAAGCAUCAUUGAAUACCAGGACUUUAUGGUUUGCAACUAUUCUCCACCUCCAUCAAUCAACAAUAGCAUCAAGAUGGAAGUCGGAAUUGAAGAUUGCCUACAUAUUGAGUUUGAGUACAAUAAAAGCAAGUACCAUCUCAAAGAUGUGAUCAUUGGCAAGAUAUAUUUUCUUCUUGUAAGAAUCAAGAUAAAGAAUAUGGAUCUUGAGAUAAGGCGCCGAGAAUCAACAGGAGCAGGGGCCAAUACACAUGUUGAAACAGAGACACUAGCAAAAUUUGAGUUGAUGGACGGAGCUCCAGUCAGAGGUGAAUCAAUUCCAAUCAGACUCUUCCUUAGCCCUUAUGAACUGACACCAACACACCGCAACAUUAACAACAAAUUCAGUGUGAAGUAUUAUUUAAACCUUGUCCUGGUUGAUGAAGAGGAUCGACGCUACUUUAAGCAGCAAGAAAUUACAAUAUACAGGUUGCAGGACAAUUCCUGAUUAAGUAUAUCAUCCCAUUCCCAUGAGAAGAGUCUAGAAGAUAACUGCAUUGUGACACAUUGUAAAAUCUUAAAGAUUAAAGAUUUAAAUUGUUGGAGCAAGGGUCCUGUUUCUUGGAUCGGUAUCGAAUGUCUUUGUAUACUUGCACAGUCAUUGCCUUGACUGUACAACUGCUGAAAUUAUGUAAAUUGGCAAAGUAUGGGUUGUGAAAGAUCUGGAUUUUCUUUUACGAUUAAACAGCUGAUUACGACUUGCCAUUGCCACGUAUGCCUGCUGUCCCAGCAAGGCUACGACUUGNNAUGACUUGUUUUUAGCUUUAAGACAUGAUUACGAACAAUUUUUACCUGUUUUUAUUGCCCAUCUGAU